RNAcentral lists this ribosomal RNA (636 nucleotides) under uncultured Actinomycetes bacterium. RNAcentral's name for it is "bacterial SSU rRNA". It matches the Rfam family "Bacterial small subunit ribosomal RNA", at positions 233 to 885 of the family's 1533-position model. The record is from RNAcentral. Lineage: Bacteria; Bacillati; Actinomycetota; Actinomycetes.
CCGCCUGGGGAGUACGGGUGAGGUAACGGCUCACCAAGGCAUCGACGGGUAGCUGGUCUGAGAGGAUGAUCAGCCACACUGGGACUGAGACACGGCCCAGACUCCUACGGGAGGCAGCAGUAGGGAAUAUUGCACAAUGGGCGAAAGCCUGAUGCAGCAACGCCGCGUGCGGGAAGAAGGCCCUAGGGUUGUAAACCGCUUUCAGCAGGGAAGAAAAUGACGGUACCUGCAGAAGAAGGUGCGGCCAACUACGUGCCAGCAGCCGCGGUGACACGUAGGCACCAAGCGUUGUCCGGAUUUAUUGGGCGUAAAGAGCUCGUAGGCGGUUCAGUUAGUCGGGUGUGAAAACUCUGGGCUCAACCCAGAGACGCCACUCGAUACUGCUGUGACUAGAGUGCGGUAGGGGAGCGGGGAAUUCCUAGUGUAGCGGUGAAAUGCGCAGAUAUUAGGAGGAACACCAGUGGCGAAGGCGCCGCUCUGGGCCGUAACUGACGCUGAGGAGCGAAAGCGUGGGUAGCAAACAGGAUUAGAUACCCUGGUAGUCCACGCCGUAAACGUUGGGCACUAGGUGUGGGUCUCAACCAACGAGAUCCGCGCCGUCGCUAACGCAUUAAGUGCCCCGCCUGGGGAGUACGG